GUGGGGAAUAUUGGACAAUGGGCGCAAGCCUGAUCCAGCAAUGCCGCGUGGGUGAAGAAGGUCUUCGGAUUGUAAAGCCCUUUCGGCGGGGACGAUGAUGACGGUACCCGCAGAAGAAGCCCCGGCUAACUUCGUGCCAGCAGCCGCGGUAAUACGAAGGGGGCUAGCGUUGCUCGGAAUGACUGGGCGUAAAGGGCGCGUAGGCGGCGCACUCAGUCCGGCGUGAAAGCCCUGGGCUCAACCUGGGGACUGCGCUGGAGACGGGUGUGCUCGAGGGUGGAAGAGGCUCGCGGAAUUCCCAGUGUAGAGGUGAAAUUCGUAGAUAUUGGGAAGAACACCGGUGGCGAAGGCGGCGAGCUGGUCCAUCACUGACGCUGAGGCGCGACAGCGUGGGGAGCAAACAGGAUUAGAUACCCUAGUAGUCC
RNAcentral lists this ribosomal RNA (425 nucleotides) under uncultured bacterium. RNAcentral describes it as "bacterial SSU rRNA". It matches the Rfam family "Bacterial small subunit ribosomal RNA", at positions 354 to 796 of the family's 1533-position model. The record is from RNAcentral.